AUACUAACGAAUACGAGAAGGGCCGUAGCAGGGUGAGGGUCGGGACUUCCGAUCAUUAUUGUACAAAGAAAACAUUUGCCCUAUUUUUGUCCAUUACCUCAACUGUGUCGUUACUUUUUGUAAAUCUUAGGAAGAGAUGGAGGAUGACAUCUCAUGAGUGACCGUCCGUGGGAAAACGUACACUUAGGUUUUCCGUGUAAACGCCAAAAACAAACGGAUAUUAAACGGAUUUUUUUCCCGUGUCUACGGAUAUUCUUUACGUGGACACGGGUUGCACAAUCUUAGCCCACGACUUUCAGUAUUUUUUUUUUAACUGUAGAGAAGACUUAAGUUCACGGCUUUCAAAGUCGUAUGGAGGAUUGCAGACAAUCGAGUGUACGUCGUGGACAUCGGAUGAUAGGCCGCAAAGAUUUUGAAUGAAGGUCAAUGAGGAUUUUUAUUUAUCAUUUAACUCUUAAACUGCUUAAAAUUCUAAGUCUUUUAUCAUUAAACUCCGAAACUGUUUAAUGAUUACGUUCUCGGGAUCCUCCGCGUUAUGUUUGACCAUGCAUUACUCCCUUAAAUCGCGGGAAGUGAGUAAACAUCAAUUUAAAACUACAGCCAAAUCUUUGUCGCUGUUUAUCUCCGUUCCUCCUCCUCCUUCCAUAGAUAAACACGUCGAUUGCCGUAGAGUAGUGAGCAUACUUGAUAAGAAAGCUUAGUUUAUCGAUAUCGAAGUAUUUAACUCAAACCAUCUCGAGUAUCAAAUCAAACAAGAAAAACUAUGAUCAACAACGAAGACGAAACAAGCGACAAAAUGUUCGAAAAGUGCGCGAAAUUGCAUACCGACUUCGGAGUUUCUUGUUUGUCUAAAAACAAGCUGAAAUCGCCACUAGUUGAUGACACAACUUUCGCCCUUAUUUACGCAAUCUUACAUAUACACAUAUAGCACACAUAAAAUAAAUCCUCGAAUUUUGAGGAAUAAGUAUUUCUGAUUUAUUUCUGUACGAUUUCACUAGAGCGGCCAUAAUCAAUAAACCUUUGAUACCGACUUCGGAGCUUCUAGUUUGUCUAACAAAAAAACUUAUUUACGCAUUAUCGUACAUAUCCGCAAAUAACACACAUCAAACAAAUCCUCGAAUUAUGAGGAAUAUAAGGAAUUAUGAAUUCUGUAAGAUUCCACAAGAACGGUCAUGAUCAGCGAAUGUCUGAUACCAACGGAGUUUCUUUUUUUCUCUAACAAGAAGCCGAAACCGCGACUAGUUCAUAACAAAACUCUCGUCCUGUAUUUACGUGUUAUCGCUACAUAACACACACCAAAUUAACCCACAUAUUAUAAGGAAUAAGUAUUUCUCAUUUAUUUCUGUGCCAUUACUAGAGCGGCCACGAUCAGUGAAUGUUUGAUACCGAUUUCGGUGUUUAUUGUUUACCUAACAUCAAGCCGUAACCACCACAACGACUCAAAGUUGUGAAAACGACUUUUACUUAAAUCGGAAGAUUCAAUCGAAUAGUUCAACAUUCACGACUCGCGAUCCGUGUGCUUGAUUCGUAGACACGGAAUCUUGACAGCCGUGUCAACGGCCUUUCAAAUUCUUUUUAACUGCCUUUUUUACCGCGUGCCCACGGCUUUUCCUUCCGUGGCCACAGGAAAAAAAUCCGUGUCAACGGAAAAAAGUAACGUGGUCACGGAAAAAAAAUCCGUUUAAACGGCGUGUGCCCGUGCACGUGCCCACGAGUUUGAAAACCUUAGUGUACGUUUUCCCGUGGACGGUCACGAUGUCCUUUUUUUAUAUGAACUCGACAAAGCCCGUUUGCAAUACAUCAUCUUAUGAACCGAAUACAAGUAGGGCGGUGGUAGGGUUCCUUCUCUGGCAGACAAUACUUGUUACUUUUUCCUCCCCCUUCCACCAAAUAUGUAAUUACGCAUAUCUUCUGAUAAAAGGAUUGGAUGGACAAAUAAAAAAUCGUUUGUUAGCCCCUUUCAUUGCAACACGUAAGGUGAACCCGUUAAAUGUUGCUGUUUGGUGCAGGGAAAUGUUUUCAAACUAACUAGAUUUGUCCUUGGACAAUACUAGAAGUAAAGGUUAUUAAAAUCGAGCCAUUUAGAAGAAUCUCUGAUAUCUUGGCACAUUUAUUUUUCUAGUAAUUCUGUUAUUUGCCUACUGUUGAAUUGCCUCAGAUAUUAAUUCAUAGAAAAGCAGGGAGUUUUGUAUCAUUACUGUUAAUCAUCUCAAUAGUUUUAUGAUUAUUUUUGCUUUUUUACCUAUAAAGAAUUUCGCAGAUAAUCCUUUUCACCCUUGUUGUGACUGUAAUUACAUUCCCGACAGGCUCCAUUGAAGCUCCAUUUAAGGGUUGUGAGUAAGAGAUUAAUGUCCCUAGAUAUAUCACGCGACAAAAUAGUUUUGUAGUUUAAUAUAAUAAUAUUAUGAGAACUAGUAUCUUAUUUAUCAAAAGUUAUGAAUUAUUAUUUAUAUAAUAAUAUUUAUAUUUCGAGCUCGCAUAAUCCGGCCGCCUCGAACUUUGUGUUUUUGGGGUUUUAGUGCCGGAAAAACUAUUAAAGCCUACAGGUAGGCUACGAAAACGGCCUCUAAUAAAUCAUCGUAAAAUCUCUGACAGGCCCCUGUCGCUUAUUUCCUUUUUAGUGCCGAAGAGAUCUGCUUGGUUACACAGGGGAUUUCAAUUUUUUUUUCAGAUCCGACACUAGGUAUUUUGGUUCCUAUAAAGUCUUAGAUGCUAUUAAUAAGUAUUUAUAUUACUUCCUUUGUACAAAAAACAAAACCAAAAUCAGGCAGGGGUGGUGGCUUAAUUAUUAUAGACAGGGGCUUAAAUGGGAUGGGGGUUAUAAGAUCUUUUACUUUAACUUAUUUUCUAUCCUCGAAAAGAGCUAUCUCCCCCUCUAUAUGAAAAAAUUGGACAUUUCUGCAAGCCGGGAAGUGAUAUUUUUCAGUGCCGAUAUCUGGAGGGUGGAAACCCCGUAUCUGAGAAAACUUUAAGCGGGUCGCAAGAAGCAGGUCUUAACUGGAAAAGACACAAUUCAUGAAUGCAUAGAAGCUUCUUUACUAUUUUUUUUUAUUAUUAUUAUUUGGUCAUACUAACGGAAGGUGACAAUUCUGACAUUUGAGAAUUUAAAUUAUACGAGUUCCGCUGUUAUGAUAUACCAAAACACAAUUUUUGUCGUAUUUAUUCUAGUUUUUAUUAUAAAAAUAACGCAUUUUGUUUUAUGUUCUUAAAA
This is a long non-coding RNA of Nematostella vectensis (starlet sea anemone), 3211 nucleotides long. RefSeq lists it as uncharacterized. Lineage: Eukaryota; Metazoa; Cnidaria; Anthozoa; Actiniaria; Edwardsiidae. The record is from RefSeq and is a predicted model, not a curated record. The transcript has 2 exons.